This 482-nucleotide ribosomal RNA is filed under the name uncultured bacterium. RNAcentral describes it as "partial 16S ribosomal RNA". It matches the Rfam family "Bacterial small subunit ribosomal RNA", at positions 30 to 507 of the family's 1533-position model. The record is from RNAcentral.
AUUGAACGCUGGCGGCAUGCUUUACACAUGCAGGUCGAACGGUAACAGCACUUCGGUGGCUGACGAGUGGCGAACGGGUGAGUAAUACAUCGGAACGUGCCUAGUAGUGGGGGAUAACUACUCGAAAGAGUAGCUAAUACCGCAUGAGAUCUAAGGAUGAAAGCAGGGGACCUACGGGCCUUGCGCUACUAGAGCGGCUGAUGGCAGAUUAGGUAGUUGGUGGGAUAAAAGCUUACCAAGCCGACGAUCUGUAGCUGGUCUGAGAGGACGACCAGCCACACUGGGACUGAGACACGGCCCAGACUCCUACGGGAGGCAGCAGUGGGGAAUUUUGGACAAUGGGCGCAAGCCUGAUCCAGCAAUGCCGCGUGCAGGAUGAAGGCCUUCGGGUUGUAAACUGCUUUUGUACGGAACGAAAAGCCCUCUUCUAAUACAGGAGGGUCAUGACGGUACCGUAAGAAUAAGCACCGGCUAACUACGUG